RNAcentral lists this long non-coding RNA (597 nucleotides) under Prunus dulcis (almond). RNAcentral describes it as "sRNA ncRNA". The record is from RNAcentral. Lineage: Eukaryota; Viridiplantae; Streptophyta; Magnoliopsida; Rosales; Rosaceae.
AGAAAAUCUAUAUGUUGGGGGUUUUCUGGCUAGCUAAAAAUGUGUGAGAAAUGAUGAAUCCAUCUGAUUGCAGCCUAUUUAAUGUUUAAUACCUUCAUUAAAAAAAAAGGUUGUUGACAGUGCUUUGACUAUCUUGCAGAUUAUAAUGGCAAAACCAGCAGGUGGCCCUAGUGAGAGAGAUCAGCAUGCAGGGAUGGAUGAGGACUAAUUUUGUGUGUAUGACAAUUGACUAUCUUUGCUUGUAUUGCUCUAUGUUAGGGAUCUUUUGUUCCAUUUUAGUAACAAUUUUGUUUAGGAGAAAAAGAAACAUAUUGCAGUUCAUGCUUUGUAAAUGCCACUCUUCUGUUAUGAUGGACACGUGGUAUGCCCUUGUUGGGUAGGUUUUGGAUUGAAACCAUGGUCGAGUGCUUGAGCCAUGUUUAGUGUGAAGCUUGAAUGGAUUUUCUUUUCUGUUGUAUUUGGCCCUUGUCUUUUCAAGCAUGCCAAAAAUCAUCCUAGUUUUGUAAUAUGUGGUUUGUGUCCAAUUAAUUUACUGUGGACCUUGCAUUUUUGUACCCAAUAUUUGAUAGCUGCCUUCUUUUGAACGAAGAUUCAUUG